This 295-nucleotide long non-coding RNA is filed under the name Gallus gallus (chicken). The record is from RNAcentral. Lineage: Eukaryota; Metazoa; Chordata; Aves; Galliformes; Phasianidae.
GUGAAAUGCAUUCCAUAUCUAUGGCUGCUGCUCAACCACUGCUUACAGAGGUAUUUUUUUUUCAUGCAGCUGCUUUGCUGUACUGGAACUUAAAAUCCCUCUUUAGUAAUGAAACAUAAGCAGAGUAAGCGAAUACUACCCUUCUCCAUUCUUAAUUACAGCCACUGGUUAAGAACUAGCAGGUUUUUAUCUACUUCUGCUGUAAGUUAUAAUUAUACCAUUACUGUUGUUAUCUAUAUUGUUGAACAACUGAGAGAGUGCAUACAGAGUCAAUCUAGGGAAAGCAUAGAUUUGG